UCAUUUUCUCUUGCCGCCACUGUGUAAGAAGUGCCUUUUGUCUCCCUCCGUGAUUCUGAGGCCUCCCCAGCCAUGUGGAACUCCUCUUCUGCCCUGCCCGGCCACUCCUUUGAGUGACAGGGGGUAAUUGAGAAGCUGCUCCUCCCUCCAGGAAGGAAGACCCGGAGCUCUGGCUUCCCUCGGCAAAGCACAUAUAAACCCACAGCCACUGCGGGUGGAAGGAGAAGGGCAGGGUGGAAAAAGUUUGAGAGAAGGAGGGAGGAAAAGGUGUCCUGGCUAGCACCAUGUGGAUUCUCUUGAGAUGAGAAGAAAAUGCCCCGCUACGUCCCCCUUCUGCUGCUCCUGCUUCUCCUGAGGUGUUCAGAACGGGGUGGAGGAGUUAAUUUUGGUGAGAAGGAUGCAAAAGUCCCCGGGACCUGGAGAGAUGGAGUCAGGGUCCCUGGAGAAGGAGCCUCUUGGGACUCAGACAGGGCCAGUCCCGAGCGAAGGUACGGAAUAGUAGGACUAAGCCAAAGCAUUUCCACUAAGCACCCAGAGACCAGCCCUAAAGACUCAAGAAUAAGAGAAAAUGAUGUAACUGCAGAUGGAAGGACCACUGAGGACCACAUCACUGCAGACCCAGGGACCACCGAGGACUCUGUCACUGCAGACCCAGGGACCACUGAGGACAAUGUGACUGUGGACCCAGGGACCACCGAGGGCUCUGUCACUGCAGACCCAGCGACCACCAAGGACUAUGUGUCUGCAGACCCAGGGACCACCAAGGAUUCUGUCACUGCAGACCCAGGGACCACUCACUGAGAACUUUGUCACUGCAGACCCAGGGACCACCAAGGACUCCAUCACUGCAGACCCAAGGACCACAGAGGACUCCGUCACUGCAGACCCAGGGACCACCAAACACUCCAUCACUGUAGACCCAGGGACCACUGAGGACUCUGUCACUGCAGACCCAGGGACCACCAAACACUCCAUCACUGCAGACCCAGGGACCACCGAGGACUCCGUCACUGCAGACCCAGGGACCACAGAAGAUGAAACCACUAAACAUGGUGACACUCACCUUCUGUGAACUACUUCAGUCACAGCAGUGAAACCCACCAGGCUCCUGACACCCAUGGGAAUUAUCCUCAUAUCCCUGGCUGCAACCACAGUCACUGUUGUGCUCUUUGUUGGAUUGGGCUUCAUUGUGAAAGAGUGUUUCCUGCCUCCAUUAAAUCCAUCCACCAGGGUUAUUUAUCAUCCCCAUGUCAUGGACUACAGUACACCAUAAAGAGGACCCCAGCAGUGACUACAGUUGGUUCUAGAAAAAGGAGACCCCUCAUCCGCCUCUGCAAGACUAUACAGCAUGAUGUGUAUCCUCAGGCCUCCACUCCUCCGCCCUAGUCUGGAGCCCUGGGACCACCACAUGAGGAAGGCAGCUGGCCCCUGGAAUAAGCAUGUGGAGGACACUCAGAAGGAUGCCCAUCUGCUCUGAGUGUCUCCUAAUUCUGCCUGACCUUGGUUACUUCCUCUGGACAAUCGCCUUUACCUAUCUACCAGGUUUUGAGGAAUUACACACAGCUCAGGUAUAAGAGAUAUUCGGUAAGUCUGAUCAAAUCAAUAAAGCAAAUUUUAUCUGUUUUUGUCUGGGACAUAUCUCUACAUUCAUUCAUUUAACCAAAAAAAAAAAAAA
Long non-coding RNA from Homo sapiens (human), 1675 nucleotides. Ensembl annotates it as HLA complex group 22 (gene/pseudogene). Its record names the gene HCG22. Lineage: Eukaryota; Metazoa; Chordata; Mammalia; Primates; Hominidae. The record is from Ensembl.